AGAGUUUGAUCAUGGCUCAGAUCGAACGCUGGCGGCGUGGCUAAAACAUGCAAGUCGAACGCGAAAGUUCCCUUCGGGGAGCGAGUAGAGUGGCGGCAGGGCGAGUAAUGCAUGGGUAACGUACCUUGUGCUUGGGGACAGCUGCGGGAAACUGCAGGUAAUACCCGAUAAGACCACAGCAUCGUAUGGUGCAGUGGUCAAAGGUGGGGAUCUCUUCGGAGACCUAUCGGCACUUGAGCGGCCCAUGUCCUAUCAGCUAGUUGGUGAGGUAACGGCUCACCAAGGCAUCGACGGGUACCGGGACUGAGAGGUUGAUCCGGCGCAUUGGGACUGAGACACUGCCCAGACUCCUACGGGAGGCUGCAGUAACGAAUAUUCCGCAAUGGACGAAAGUCUGACGGAGCGACGCCGCGUGCGGGAAUAAGCCCUUCGGGGUGUAAACCGCUGUCAGGGACCACCAAGCAAUGAGGGUUAAUACCCUUCGGCGUUGAGGAAUCCCAAAGGAAGCCACGGCUAACUUCGUGCCAGCAGCCGCGGUAAUACGAAGGUGGCAAGCGUUGUUCGGAAUCAUUGGGCUUAAAGCGUAUGUAGGCGGCCUGUCAAGCGUCAUGUGAAAUCCCUCGGCUCAACCGAGGAAUUGCUUGGCGAACUGGCAGGCUUGAGGCAGGUAGGGGUGUGUGGAACUCUUGGUGGAGCGGUGGAAUGCGUAGAUAUCUGGAGGAACAUCAGUGGCGAAGGCGACUUCCUGGACUAACAUUGACGCUGAGGCGCGAAAGCGUGGGGAGCAAACAGGAUUAGAUACCCUGGUAGUCCACGCCGUAAACGAUGUCAACUAGACGUUGGGGGGUUUAACCCUUUAGUGUCGCAGCUAACGCAUUAAGUUGACCGCCUGGGGAGUACGGCCGCAAGGUUAAAACUCAAAGGAAUUGACGG
RNAcentral lists this ribosomal RNA (933 nucleotides) under uncultured bacterium. Its description in RNAcentral is "bacterial SSU rRNA". It matches the Rfam family "Bacterial small subunit ribosomal RNA", at positions 8 to 916 of the family's 1533-position model. The record is from RNAcentral.